Molecule: ribosomal RNA, 274 nt
Filed under: uncultured bacterium
Lineage: Bacteria
Description: partial 16S ribosomal RNA
Rfam family: Bacterial small subunit ribosomal RNA
Source: RNAcentral
AUACGGAGGGUGCAAGCGUUAAUCGGAAUUACUGGGCGUAAAGCGUGCGUAGGUGGUUUGUUAAGUCAGAUGUGAAAGCCCCGGGCUCAACCUGGGAACUGCAUUUGAAACUGGCAUACUAGAGUAUAGGAGAGGAAAGUGGAAUUUCAGGUGUAGCGGUGAAAUGCGUAGAUAUCUGAAGGAACAUCAAUGGCGAAGGCAGCUUUCUGGACUAAUUCUGACACUGAGGUACGAAAGCGUGGGUAGCAAACAGGAUUAGAAACCCUAGUAGUCC